This is a non-coding RNA of Lupinus albus (white lupine), 716 nucleotides long. Lineage: Eukaryota; Viridiplantae; Streptophyta; Magnoliopsida; Fabales; Fabaceae. The record is from the annotation of a GenBank genome assembly.
CUUUCAUUUCUGGCUUGAGGGAGUUUGAGAGAAGAGGUGAGAAGAUGAAGGAAGAGAGAAGACGAAGGCGGAGAAAGAGUUCACGGGUUUUCUCCUCCGGCGACGGAAGCGGCAUUUUAGUUCCGGCGAAGAGCUAAUGAGGAGCUUCUCGUCUGCUCCAACUCCUACCUUCGAUUGUUACAUCGGUUUAGGUCAUGAAAGUGUUCCAAGCAAACAACCUGAUCACAUGCACUUGAAAUUAUUUGCAUAGAUGAAGGGUUCAAUAUUACUGCAGCGUUGACAACUAAGCCAUAAGAUGUUGCCAACUCAGUAUCUGAUUGCAUAAACUUGAAAACUGACUAUUGAAGUUGGUCUUUUGAUGAAGGUUGAAUAUUCUUGCCAUUGAAAACCAUUUGAGACUCAUUAUGGGUUUUGCUCCUGCGACUGAAAAAACCCAACACCAACUGGUGAUUCCAUAUACCCACAUAUUUGUCUCAGGUUCAGCAUUCCAACGCCCUGUGUCUUCAUCACUUGCAAAAAUCGUCCUGCCAUCAUCUUCAUAAAUAGUAAUCAUAACCUUUACUUCCACUUGAGGAAUAAGACUUGAACAUGCCACUUAAAGAGAAGGAAGAUGAUUUGUUACCUCCCAUCAUAACUGUUUUUUGGAUUAUGAUUUCUAUUGUAACUUUCAAUACUCACAAAUUGUUCCUUCACCUCUAAGGAUUCCAACAUUCUUC